UAAGGAAUAUUGGUCAAUGGACGCAAGUCUGAACCAGCCAUGCCGCGUGAAGGAUGAAGGUCCUCUGGAUUGUAAACUUCUUUUAUCUGGGACGAAAACGGGAUUUUUAUCUCAAUUGACGGUACCAGAGGAAUAAGCACCGGCUAACUCCGUGCCAGCAGCCGCGGUAAUACGGAGGGUGCGAGCGUUAUCCGGAUUUACUGGGUUUAAAGGGUGCGUAGGUGGGCUUAUAAGUCAGUGGUGAAACCCUACAGCUUAACUGUAGAACUGCCUUUGAUACUUUUAUUCUUGAGUUCGGGAGAGAGAGACGGAAUUCCAGGUGUAGUGGUGAAAUACGUAGAUAUCUGGAAGAACACCAGUUGCGAAGGCGGUCUCUUGGUCCGACACUGACGCUGAGGCGCGAAAGCGUGGGGAGCAAACA
RNAcentral lists this ribosomal RNA (421 nucleotides) under uncultured bacterium. RNAcentral describes it as "bacterial SSU rRNA". It matches the Rfam family "Bacterial small subunit ribosomal RNA", at positions 355 to 774 of the family's 1533-position model. The record is from RNAcentral.